RNAcentral lists this ribosomal RNA (433 nucleotides) under uncultured bacterium. RNAcentral describes it as "partial 16S ribosomal RNA". It matches the Rfam family "Bacterial small subunit ribosomal RNA", at positions 29 to 507 of the family's 1533-position model. The record is from RNAcentral.
AACGAACGCUGGCGGCAUGCCUAACACAUGCAAGUCGAACGAGACCUUCGUGUCUAGUGGCGCACGGGUGCGUAACGCGUGGUAACCUGCCCUUAGGUUCGGAAUAACUCCCCGAAAGGGGUGCUAAUACCGGAUAAUGUCUUCGCACCAAAGAUUUAUCGCCUUUGGAUGGGCCCGCGUUGGAUUAGCUAGUUGGUAGGGUAAAAGCCUACCAAGGCGACGAUCCAUAGCUGGUCUGAGAGGAUGAUCAGCCACACUGGGACUGAGACACGGCCCAGACUCCUACGGAAGGCAGGAGUGGGGAAUAUUGGACAAUGGGGGAAAGCCUGAUCCAGCAGUGCCGCGUGAGUGAUGAAGGCCUUAGGGUUGUAAAGCUCUUUUACCCGGGAUGAUAAUGACAGUACCGGGAGAAUAAGCUCCGGCUAACUCCGUG